GUCUCCGAGGGACCACCCUGCUUCACUCUAGGAUGAGAACCGUGAAACCGCGCUGGUGAAAUGAGCUGGGAUGCAGAACUUGCAAAAAACUGCUAGAGCAUGGAGCAAGACAUGCAUUUAAAAACAAUCCAUAUCUGAAAGUCAAAGGAAAAAGCUAUCCAUAUUUUAAUAACAUUGGAGAAAACCUCUAUCAGGCACAUUUUCUGUGGUGGAAGCUAUUAAAGAAUGGAUGCUGAAGGAAGUAAUUUUGAUUAUGACAACAACACAUGCUUGAAGUAUAAAACAUGUGACAAUUUCAUCCAGCUGCUGCCAUCCAGGAAACGGUACCGCAGCAUAAAAGCCAGGACCUACAGGCUUCGGGACAUCUUCCAUCAGGCCAUCAGACUGAUUAACUCACGUUGAUCAAUGACCAACACAGUCCAAGCAUGUGCUGGUGGAAGCCACACUUCCAGCAAC
This is a long non-coding RNA of Mobula hypostoma (lesser devil ray), 456 nucleotides long. RefSeq lists it as uncharacterized. Lineage: Eukaryota; Metazoa; Chordata; Chondrichthyes; Myliobatiformes; Myliobatidae. The transcript is spliced from 4 exons. The record is from RefSeq and is a predicted model, not a curated record.